UACGGAGGGUGCAAGCGUUAUCCGGAUUUACUGGGCUUAAAGGGUGCGUAGGCGGGUCUGUAAGUCAGUGGUGAAAUCUCCGGGCUUAACCCGGAAACUGCCAUUGAUACUAUAGGUCUUGAAUAUUGUGGAGGUAAGCGGAAUAUGUCAUGUAGCGGUGAAAUGCUUAGAUAUGACAUAGAACACCGAUAGCGAAGGCAGCUUGCUACACAAUUAUUGACACUGAGGCACGAAAGCGUGGGGAUCAAACAGG
Molecule: ribosomal RNA, 253 nt
Filed under: uncultured bacterium
Lineage: Bacteria
Description: partial 16S ribosomal RNA
Rfam family: Bacterial small subunit ribosomal RNA
Source: RNAcentral